Phyllopteryx taeniolatus (common seadragon) is the source of this 4933-nucleotide RNA transcript. It is a transcript of the gene named diacylglycerol kinase, beta, with no coding region annotated. The transcript has 26 exons. Lineage: Eukaryota; Metazoa; Chordata; Actinopteri; Syngnathiformes; Syngnathidae. The record is from RefSeq and is a predicted model, not a curated record.
UUUAUGGUUUCACAGUCAUAACGGCCCUCUGUGGGAAACCGUAACGACAAGGUGGCCCGCGACAAAAAUGACUUGGACACCCCUGCUCUACCGGAUGAUUGCCAUCUUUUUAAAAACUCUCUUCAGCAACACCCAGUCGAUCACCACCAUCCCUAUUGAAAAAAAUAUGCAUUCAAAACAUUCCUCAGCUCGAUGGAUUACGCACGGGGCCGUGCACUGGAUCACCGCCAGAUCUCUUAACGCUUUAUAGCUCAUUCAAAUAUAUGCGCUCCUCAGCACCCGCCGGAUCCAACUGGAUCAGCGCAGCCUCUUCUUCUCCACACUCCACAUCUAAUUACCAUAUAAAGACUCUUGCCUCAGCGCCCACUAGAUCCCCCGGUGGAUCACCGCCGCCUCCUCUUCUCCACCCUCUAAAUGACCAACGCGUACACUCCUCCCCAUCCUCAGUACCCACUAGCUAGAUAUUCCAUUAGAGCAUCCAGCGGAGGUGAGGUGGGCUCAUCUGGGAAUGUGAUCUGCUUCCUGGACUCUGCCGGAGGUGAGAGGCGGCGUGCUGACCUCAUCUCGUCGUCCGACCGAUGCGUGCGUGUCGCAUUGUGUGUGUGAGAGAGAGAGAGAGAGUGUAUUUGUGAGCGUGUGUGGAGGCACUCUCCAUCUCCUGAUGGAUGCGGCACACUGAGCCAUGGGCACACACACGUGAGGAUGCCGCUUAUCAACCGUGCCUCGGAAACACAAGAUAAGCUUGUUUAGGAUAUCGGGAAGACGCGCCCGCGUUUGGAAAAUGCCGGUGGGUGAAUGCUGAGCACCAUGACGAGCGGCCAGGAUGCUUGGGUCACGCUGAGCCCAGCAGAAUUCGCCCUCUUGCAAGAAUAUACUCAGUACUCGACCAAGAAGCUGAAAGAUGUGCUGCAGGAGUUCCACGGCGAUGGCGUGCUGGCCAAAUACAAUCCAGAGGAGAAACAGGAAAUUCUCAGCCAGCAGGACAUUGAUUUUGAGGGCUUCAAGCUAUUCAUGCAGACCUUCCUGGAGAGCGAGCUGCCUAAAGAGUUCUGCCAGCAUCUCUUCAUGUCCUUCAGCAACAAGGAGCACCCCAGCCCGUCCUCGUCCUCCGACAAGCCCAGAGUCUCCGGGCUCAAGCUGAUCAAAAGCAACUCAACCCCCCUGAGGACGAGCGGCGUGCCCGGCCCGCCGAGUACGGUGCAGCUCAAAGACAUCGUGUGCUACCUGUCGCUGCUGGAGGGAGGACGGCCCGAGGACAAGCUGGAGUUUAUGUUUCGCCUCUAUGACACCGAUGGGAACGGCUCUUUGGACAGCUCGGAGCUGGAGCACAUCAUCUCGCAGAUGAUGCACGUGGCCGAGUACCUGGAGUGGGACGUGACCGAGCUCAAACCUAUCCUGCAGGAAAUGAUGCAGGAGAUCGACUACGACCGCGACGGCACCGUGUCUCUGGAGGAGUGGAUCCAAGGAGGGAUGACCACCAUCCCGCUCCUAGUCCUGUUGGGUCUGGAGACCAAUGUGAAAGAUGACGGUCAGCACGUGUGGCGUCUGAAGCACUUCAACAAGCCAGCCUACUGCAACCUUUGUCUCAACAUGCUCAUUGGCCUCGGCAAGCAGGGACUCUGCUGCUCGUUCUGCAAGUACACGGUCCAUGAGCGCUGCGUGGCCCGCGCGCCGCCCUCCUGCAUCAAAACUUACGUCAAGUCCAAGAAAAACACGGAGGUCAUGCAUCACUUCUGGGUGGAAGGUAACUGCCCCACCAAGUGUGACAAGUGCCACAAAACCAUUAAGUGUUACCAGGGUCUGACUGGGCUCCACUGCGUGUGGUGUCAAAUCACGCUCCAUAACAAGUGCGCCUCGCACAUGAAGCCCGAGUGUGACUGCGGACCUCUGAAGGAUCACAUCCUGCCGCCCAGCUCCAUCUGCCCUGUCGUCUUGGAAAGGCAGUCGACGCUAAGGAAGGACUCGAGGUGCAGCCAGUCGAGUCGCGGAAAAGUACAGCGAGCCAACUCGGUCACAGUGGAUGGUCAAGGCCUGCAGAUCACGACAAUAGAGGGCACUCAUCCGCUGCUGGUGUUUGUCAAUCCCAAGAGCGGUGGCAAACAGGGAGAGAGGAUCUACAGGAAGUUCCAGUACCUCCUAAACCCGAGACAAGUGUACAACCUGGCGAAGAAUGGACCCAUGCCGGGGUUGAAUUUCUUCCGAGACGUGCCUGAUUUCCGGGUGCUGGCGUGCGGCGGGGACGGCACGGUGGGCUGGAUCCUGGACUUUAUUGACAAGGCAAACCUGGACCGGAACCCACCUGUGUGCGUAUUUCCUCUCGGCACAGGAAAUGAUCUGGCCAGAUGUCUGCGCUGGGGAGGAGGCUAUGAGGGCGAGAGCCUGCUCAAGAUCCUGCGCGACAUCGAGAACAGCAGCGAGGUGAUGCUGGACCGCUGGAAGAUCGACGUCACGGCCGCCGACAAGGACGAGCGGGGCGACCCGGUGCCGUACAGCAUCGUAAACAACUACUUCUCCAUCGGAGUGGACGCCUCCAUCGCACAUCGUUUCCACGUGAUGAGGGAGAAGCACCCGGAGAAGUUUAACAGUAGAACAAAGAACAAGCUUUGGUACUUUGAGUUUGGCACUUCAGAGACGUUCUCGGCCACGUGCAAGAAGCUACACGACUUUCUGGAAGUCGAGUGUGACGGCGUUACCCUGGACCUGAGCGCCGUCUCCCUGGAGGGCAUCGCCAUCCUCAACAUUCCCAGCAUGCACGGCGGCUCCAACCUGUGGGGCGAGAGCAAGAAGAGGCGGGGUCACCGCAAGGCGGCCAAGAAGGGCCUGGACAGGAGGAUGCCUUUGACUGACCCUAAAGAGCUCAUGUUUGCAGUUCAAGACCUGUCCGAUCAGCUGUUAGAGGUGGUCGGGCUGGAGGGAGCCAUGGAGAUGGGUCAGAUCUACACGGGCCUGAAAAGCGCCGGAAGACGCUUGGCGCAGUGCUCCUCCGUCACCAUCAGAACCAGUAAAUCACUUCCCAUGCAGAUUGAUGGUGAACCUUGGAUGCAGACCCCCUGCACUAUCGAGAUCAUCCACAAGAACCAGGCUCCCAUGCUGAUGGGUCCUCAGCCGAGUCGAAGCUUCUUCUCCUCGCUGGUGAGGAGAAGGCGGGCCGAGAGCAAAGACUGAUCCCUCCAAAUGCUUCGUAGGUCCUCCAAGUCCUCGUCGGAAGCGACGAAACUCAUCGCACGGGCCAUUCCCCGACUCUUUUGGACCCGUGCGGAGAUGCGAGGGGCUCGCGUCUUUGCCUGCUUGAUUGCCCAGAGUGCCGUAGCAAAGUGUAGGUUCUGCCAGGAACGGACGGCUCAGUGUGAACAGGUACUCGUGUUUAAUUUCAGUGGAAAAAGCAGUCCGAAUGACUUUUGCAUGUAGGUGUGCCAUGAAGGUAACAUGCCUUGUUUGAUUUUUGUUCAAUGAAUUUUGUACAGUUCAUUUACGCAAAAAAAAAAAAAAAAAAAAACACAAACACGAAAUGACUAAAGGCAUAAUAAGUACGCCAAAAAAGACACUCGGGUACCUUGGUUUUAGGGUGAUGCUUUCAUCCGCAUUGGGUACAGUAAGGGUACCGAUUGCUUUUCUGUUGUAUAAACAGGAACACAUUUGAUGAAAUUUAAUUUUAAAGGUACAAAAAACUGGUAGCAGUUUUUUGCCAACAAAUGAAAAAUUCAAAUAAACUUAAUAUUGUAUACAACAAUGUAAACACAACUUUUUUUUCUUUUGAAGAAAAAGUGCAACAUCAACAAUGCGGAAAUCAAGUGAAAUACUGUAUACAAUACAACAAAUAUAUUUAUUAAUUUAUAGCAGCUGAAAUCCAAGCUGCUAUAAUCCAAUUCAAGUGCCACACCAAUUUUUUUUGUUCUAUUUAAGAUGUAGAUUCAAAAAAUGUAUACAUAAUACAUUUAUUCAUAUAUAACUGCAGAAAUCUUUUCUUUUUAGGAAAGUGCAAAACCAAUCAUUUGUCUCCUUUUAACAAAAUACAAUCAAAUAAUGCCUAAAAUAAAUAUUUGCACAUACAAUAAAACAAAUUCUGUAUUUAUUUGUAACAGCUGAAUCAUUUUCUUUUGAGAAAAGUGCCACACAGUUUGUUCUCUUUUUGAGGAGACAAACAAUGCAAACAAGUAUGACUGUGAGAGUUAUUCAUCAAAUACAUACACACAAAAUUAUGAACCAUACACACCUAUGAUUUAAGAAUCUACCGCAUUGCCACAAAUAACGCCCAUCCCUCUAAUAGACACCAUGCCUACGGACUCGGCCGUUUAUCACAUGAAACAAGAAUUAACUGCCUGAGCCCAUUUGAACUCUGUCGCUAACCAAAACAGCAGCACCUGGCACGGCACUUAAAGCGUCUCUCAUUCAUUGAAGUGGGACGUAUUGGCUCAAGUAUUAAAGAUGAUGGAAUGGAAUGCGCAAAUGGUUUGACUUGACUUCGACGGAUGGAAUUCUUGUUCCUGAAGAACUUCUAUAUUGCUAACAUUGGUCAAUACUGUUUACAAAAAUGUCCUCCAGUUAAGGCCUCCCACCUAACAGACACCUGCAGUCGAGAAUGUUAACCCCCCCCACACACACACCCCCUGUGAUUUGAUUGCGGAAAGAAGUUGUUAUUAUAUAAUAAGUUGUGAGUAUAUGGCCACAUCAACAUUUGGGGACCAUGGCCGGCCGGCCACAGUGUGAGCAGCAUGGCGUGCGCCUGAAAAAUGGCGUCCUUGCACUCCUGCCCUGCAUGCUUUUUACGCUUGUUAAAAGUAAGAACAAGUCUUUGCUUUGUAUUUUGGAUUCCUUUUUCUUCUUCUUCACUCUGGAAAAUACUGCCACGUUGUUUUGCCUCAGAUGUGGAAAGAAAUGCCUGUUGAUGUCAAUAAUAAUUAAAUGAUCAAAAGGAAAAACACUUGUUUAACAU